RNAcentral lists this ribosomal RNA (430 nucleotides) under Bacillota bacterium. RNAcentral's name for it is "Firmicutes bacterium partial 16S ribosomal RNA". It matches the Rfam family "Bacterial small subunit ribosomal RNA", at positions 355 to 776 of the family's 1533-position model. Lineage: Bacteria; Bacillati; Bacillota. The record is from RNAcentral.
UGGGGAAUAUUGGACAAUGGGGGGAACCCUGAUCCAGCCAUGCCGCGUGUGUGAAGAAGGCCUUAUGGUUGUAAAGCACUUUAAGCGAGGAGGAGGCUCUCUUGGUUAAUACCCAAGAAGAGUGGACGUUACUCGCAGAAUAAGCACCGGCUAACUCUGUGCCAGCAGCCGCGGUAAUACAGAGGGUGCGAGCGUUAAUCGGAUUUACUGGGCGUAAAGCGUGCGUAGGCGGCUUUUUAAGUCGGAUGUGAAAUCCCCGAGCUUAACUUGGGAAUUUCAAUUGAAACUGGGAAGGUAGGGGAUUGGAGAGGAUGGUAGGAAUCCAGGUGUAGCGGUGAAAUGCGUAGAGAUCUGGAGGAAUACCGAUGGCGAAGGCAGCCAUCUGGCCUAAUACUGACGCUGAGGUACGAAAGCAUGGGGAGCAAACAGG